AUUGAACGCUGGCGGCAUGCUUUACACAUGCAAGUCGAACGGGGUGAGGGGGCAACUCCUCAUCUAGUGGCGAACGGGUGAGUAAUGCAUCGGAACGUGUCCCGUAGUGGGGGAUAACCCGGCGAAAGCCGGACUAAUACCGCAUAUGCUCUACGGAGGAAAGUGGGGGAUCCGCGAGGACCUCACGCUAUGGGAGCGGCCGAUGUCCGAUUAGCUAGUUGGUGGGGUAAUGGCCUACCAAGGCGACGAUCGGUAGCUGGUCUGAGAGGAUGAUCAGCCACACUGGGACUGAGACACGGCCCAGACUCCUACGGGAGGCAGCAGUGGGGAAUUUUGGACAAUGGGGGCAACCCUGAUCCAGCCAUGCCGCGUGCGGGAAGAAGGCCU
RNAcentral lists this ribosomal RNA (387 nucleotides) under uncultured bacterium. RNAcentral describes it as "bacterial SSU rRNA". It matches the Rfam family "Bacterial small subunit ribosomal RNA", at positions 29 to 417 of the family's 1533-position model. The record is from RNAcentral.